Molecule: small nucleolar RNA, 66 nt
Filed under: Euglena gracilis
Lineage: Eukaryota; Euglenozoa; Euglenophyceae; Euglenales; Euglenaceae
Description: AGA box snoRNA
Source: RNAcentral
GGYAUCGGGCUGGGCAGAGGGCCCGCUUGCCAKCGUGCGCAGCCCUCAGUCCAUUUGCCCAGAUUC